RNAcentral lists this long non-coding RNA (1261 nucleotides) under Salmo salar (Atlantic salmon). RNAcentral's name for it is "lncRNA (ENSSSAG00000087914.1)". Lineage: Eukaryota; Metazoa; Chordata; Actinopteri; Salmoniformes; Salmonidae. The record is from RNAcentral.
AUAGGUUAUAGCAAUAUGGUAAUUGCUUCACCUUGCCUUCUGAUAGGCUGGAUGCAAUUGUGGCCAUAUUGCUUAUACCUAUUCAAUCAUUUCUGAUUCACAGGAGUGUUUAGGCCAGGGUGUAGGAUUUAGGGGUCAAUUUGGAAUUAGGAAUCAAAUGUAGUUCAUGGGUUUACAGCUGUCCUUAAUUAGCCAAUGACAUUAGAAGGGUCUGGGGAUUUGUUUAAAAGGAGCAACCAAAAGCCUGCCAGAUACAGCAAAAGGGUUAUUAUGCUAGGGCUUAUACUGACCAUUAGUUCUGAUUACUGGGGCGGUUUUGAAGUGCAAAAGUGUACAUGAUGAUUGGAAUCGCUUUCAGAGUUUCUUGGCUUUGUUGCCUGCUAAUUGGAGGGAUAACCUGUUCUACAUCAAGUGAUGGGUAUCCUGCACUAGGGUCUGAUGCAGCAUGGCUCUAUGCAGGCUCACUUGGGUCUAAAGGAUAUGGUAAUUACAGCUCUCCAACAGCUCAAAUGCAAGCGCAGCUGACCGAAGGGCAACAGAAACAUCCGGCUGCCAUCCUGCAAAAACAACUGGUCCCCAUGCCCCAGAAGCAACCAGCUACUGAACUUCAGCAUCAGAAGGAACAGGCCUCCAUACCCCAGCUACCUCAGCAAGUGUGGUAUCCAGUUCAAAUUCCCCAGCAGCAAAAGCAACCAGCUACUGGUCCUCAGCAGCAGAAGGAACUGACCACCAUGCCCCAGAAGCAACUGGCUCCAAUGCCUAUACCGCAGAAACAACCAACAGCUAUGCCACAGCAAGCAUGGUAUCCAGCCCCAAUGCCGCAGAAGCAACCGGCCGCCAUGCCCCAGCAAGUGUGGCAUCCAGCUCAAAUGCUGCUGAAGCAACUGACGCCAUGCCCCAGCAGUGUGGUAUCCAGCUCAAAUGCCCCAGAAGCAAUCGACCGCCUUGGCCCAGGAAGUGUGGACUCCAGCUCAAUGUACCCAGCAGCAGAAGCAACCGGCUGCUGAAACUCGGCAGAAAAUUGAACCGACUGCCAUGCCCCAGCCACCUCAGCAAGUGAUGCAUCCAGCUAAAUUUCCCCAGGAGCAGAAGCAACCAGCCCCAAUGCCUUUACCGCAGAAGGAACUGACCGCCAUACCCCAGCAACCUCAGCAAGUGUGGCAUCUGGCGCAGAAGCAACCGGCCCCUAUGCCCCAGCAGCCUCACGACGUGUGGUAUCCAGCUAAAAGGUCCAGAAGCAACAAGCCUCUGCAACUGACCG